GACGAACGCUGGCGGCGUGCCUAAUACAUGCAAGUUGAGCGCUGAAGGUUGGUACUUGUACCAACUGGAUGAGCAGCGAACGGGUGAGUAACGCGUGGGGAAUCUGCCUUUGAGCGGGGGACAACAUUUGGAAACGAAUGCUAAUACCGCAUAAAAACUUUAAACACAAGUUUUAAGUUUGAAAGAUGCAAUUGCAUCACUCAAAGAUGAUCCCGCGUUGUAUUAGCUAGUUGGUGAGGUAAAGGCUCACCAAGGCGAUGAUACAUAGCCGACCUGAGAGGGUGAUCGGCCACAUUGGGACGGAGACACGGCCCAAACUCCUACGGGAGGAAGCAGUAGGGAAUCUUCGGCAAUGGACGAAAGUCUGACCGAGCAACGCCGCGUGAGUGAAGAAGGUUUUCGGAUCGUAAAACUCUGUUGGUAGAGAAGAACGUUGGUGAGAGUGGAAAGCUCAUCAAGUGACGGUAACUACCCAGAAAGGGACGGCUAACUACGUG
Molecule: ribosomal RNA, 497 nt
Filed under: uncultured bacterium
Lineage: Bacteria
Description: partial 16S ribosomal RNA
Rfam family: Bacterial small subunit ribosomal RNA
Source: RNAcentral